Tenacibaculum soleae is the source of this 33-nucleotide regulatory RNA element. It matches the Rfam family "S16-Flavobacteria ribosomal protein leader". The record is from Rfam. Lineage: Bacteria; Pseudomonadati; Bacteroidota; Flavobacteriia; Flavobacteriales; Flavobacteriaceae.
UUAAUAAUCAAGGUCGCGUACCUUAAAAAUUAA